UUCCGGUUGAUCCCGCCGGAGGACAUUGCUAUUGGGAUUCGAUUUAGCCAUGCUAGUCGAGCGAGUUCAGACUCGCGGCAGAUAGCUCAGUAACACGUGGCCAAGCUCCCCUUCAGUCGGCAAUACCCUCGGGAAACUGAGGUUAACGGCCGAUACGGAACAGUCGCUGGAAUGCACUGUUCGCUAAAGACAUCGCUGAAGGAUGUGGCUGCGGCCGAUUAGGUAGACGGUGGGGUAACGGCCCACCGUGCCCAUAAUCGGUACGGGUUGUGAGAGCAAGAGCCCGGAGACGGUAUCUGAGACAAGAUACCGGGCCCUACGGGGCGCAGCAGGCGCGAAAACUUUACACUGCACGACAGUGCGAUAAGGGAACUCCGAGUGCGAGGGCAUAUCGUCCUCGCUUUUGUGUACCGUAGUGAGGUACUCGAACAAGAGCUGGGCAAGACCGGUGCCAGCCGCCGCGGUAACACCGGCAGCUCGAGUGAUGGCCGAUAUUAUUGGGCCUAAAGCGUCCGUAGCCAGCUGAACAGGUCCGUCGGGAAAUCUGCUCGCUCAACGAGCAGGCGUCCGGCGGAAACCAGUCAGCUUGGGACCGGAAGACCCGAGGGGUACGUCCGGGGUAGGAGUGAAAUCCCGUAAUCCUGGACGGACCACCGGUGGCGAAAGCGCCUCGGGAAGACGGAUCCGACGGUGAGGGACGAAAGCUAGGGUCACGAACCGGAUUAGAUACCCGGGUAGUCCUAGCCGUAAACGAUGCUCACUAGGUGUGGCACUGGCUACGAGCCAGUGCUGUGCCGUAGGGAAGCCGUGAAGUGAGCCGCCUGGGAAGUACGUCCGCAAGGAUGAAACUUAAAGGAAUUGGCGGGGGAGCACUACAACCGGAGGAGCCUGCGGUUUAAUUGGACUCAACGCCGGACAUCUCACCAGCUCCGACAGUGUGCAGUGACGGUCAGUGUGAUGAGCUUACCUGAGCCACUGAGAGGAGGUGCAUGGCCGCCGUCAGCUCGUACCGUGAGGCGUCCUGUUAAGUCAGGCAACGAGCGAGACCCACGUCCUUAAUUGCCAGCAACACCCUCGUGGUGGUUGGGUACAUUAAGGAGACUGCCGCUGCUAAAGCGGAGGAAGGAAUGGGCAACGGUAGGUCAGUAUGCCCCGAAUGAGCUGGGCAACACGCGGGCUACAAUGGCCGAGACAGUGGGAUGCAACCCCGAGAGGGGGCGCUAAUCUCCGAAACUCGGUCGUAGUUCGGAUUGCGGACUGAAACUCGUCCGCAUGAAGCUGGAUUCGGUAGUAAUCGCCGUUCAGAAGACGGCGGUGAAUACGUCCCUGCUCCUUGCACACACCGCCCGUC
Molecule: ribosomal RNA, 1351 nt
Filed under: uncultured euryarchaeote
Lineage: Archaea; Methanobacteriati; Methanobacteriota
Description: bacterial SSU rRNA
Rfam family: Archaeal small subunit ribosomal RNA
Source: RNAcentral